Molecule: ribosomal RNA, 551 nt
Filed under: uncultured Glomeromycotina
Lineage: Eukaryota; Fungi; Glomeromycota
Description: SSU rRNA
Rfam family: Eukaryotic small subunit ribosomal RNA
Source: RNAcentral
UUGGAGGGCAAGUCUGGUGCCAGCAGCCGCGGUAAUUCCAGCUCCAAUAGCGUAUAUUAAAGUUGUUGCAGUUAAAAAGCUCGUAGUUGAAUUUCGGAAUUUUUUUAUCGGUUGAAUCAACAGGUUCGUACUGAUUUUAAGAAUUUCUACCUUCUGGAGAACCUUAAUGUCAUUAAUUUGGUGUUUUGGGAAACCAGGACUGUUACCUUGAAAAAAUUAGAGUGUUUAAAGCAGGCUUAUGUCUGAAUAUAUUAGCAUGGAAUAAUGAAAUAGGACGGCAUGGUUCUAUUUUGUUGGUUUCUAGGAUCACCGUAAUGAUUAAUAGGGAUAGUUGGGGGCAUUAGUAUUCAAUUGUCAGAGGUGAAAUUCUUGGAUUUAUUGAAGACUAACUUCUGCGAAAGCAUUUGCCAAGGAUGUUUUCAUUAAUCAAGAACGAAAGUUAGGGGAUCGAAGACGAUCAGAUACCGUCGUAGUCUUAACCAUAAACUAUGCCGACUAGGAAUCGGACGAAGUUAAUUUUUUAAUGACUCGUUCGGCGCCUUACGGGAAAC